RNAcentral lists this ribosomal RNA (467 nucleotides) under Flavobacterium sp. WB4.3-21. Its description in RNAcentral is "bacterial SSU rRNA". It matches the Rfam family "Bacterial small subunit ribosomal RNA", at positions 16 to 484 of the family's 1533-position model. Lineage: Bacteria; Pseudomonadati; Bacteroidota; Flavobacteriia; Flavobacteriales; Flavobacteriaceae. The record is from RNAcentral.
AUCCUGGCUCAGGAUGAACGCUAGCGGCAGGCUUAACACAUGCAAGUCGAGGGGUAGAGUUCUUCGGAGCUUGAGACCGGCGCACGGGUGCGUAACGCGUAUGCUAUCUACCUUUUACAGAGGGAUAGCCCAGAGAAAUUUGGAUUAAUACCUCAUAGUAUAAUUGAAUGGCAUCAUUUAAUUAUUAAAGUCACAACGGUAAAAGAUGAGCAUGCGUCCCAUUAGCUAGUUGGUAAGGUAACGGCUUACCAAGGCUACGAUGGGUAGGGGUCCUGAGAGGGAGAUCCCCCACACUGGUACUGAGACACGGACCAGACUCCUACGGGAGGCAGCAGUGAGGAAUAUUGGACAAUGGGCGCAAGCCUGAUCCAGCCAUGCCGCGUGCAGGAUGACGGUCCUAUGGAUUGUAAACUGCUUUUGUACAGGAAGAAACACUGGUUCGUGAACCAGCUUGACGGUAUCGUAAG